UACGGAGGAUCCAAGCGUUAUCCGGAUUUAUUGGGCUUAAAGGGAGCGUAGGCGGCCAAUUAAGUCAGGGGUGAAAGACGGUGGCUCAACCAUCGCAGUGCCUUUGAUACUGAUUGGCUUGAAUGUAGUUGAGGUAGGCGGAAUGUGACAAGUAGCGGUGAAAUGCAUAGAUAUGGGGCAGAACACCGGUUGCGAAGGCGGCUUACUGGGCUAUAAUUGACGCUGAGGCUCGAAAGCGUGGGGAUCAAACAGG
RNAcentral lists this ribosomal RNA (253 nucleotides) under uncultured bacterium. Its description in RNAcentral is "partial 16S ribosomal RNA". It matches the Rfam family "Bacterial small subunit ribosomal RNA", at positions 524 to 776 of the family's 1533-position model. The record is from RNAcentral.